UUUAGCCAAAAACUGCCACCGCUAUAUUCAGUCUCUGCAAUUCUUUUUAUCUUCUGUGCCAUUUGCAUUCUGUUCUCCGUGAUUUUUUCUUCAAUCUUCAGUCAGUAGUCAAUCCAUGGAGAAGAAGUUCCUGCCGAUAUUCAUUUCACUAAUUUUGAAGAUGUUCCUUGUGUGCCCGAUUGCGAUGACAAAUUAAAACCAUUCUUUGGCAAGAAAUGCGACACCUUGGACAAGGAAAUUGCUUUCUAUGAUGCUUAUGCUUGUGAAUCGACACACGGAAACAUGGAACCAAAUUUUCACGUGAGUGUGUUACUUGGCAAUAUAUUGUGUGCAACAGGGAAGGGUUGAAGUAUGGGAUUGAAAUGGAUCACAUUCAUGCACGUGAAGGAUUCAUUAAAAAGCGCAGACGACCACCUUGAAGAGGCACAGAAGAAGGGACCCGUUGAUGUUGAAAAGAUGGUGGCAGAGUUCCCCAAACCUUGAAUGGUGACUGUCAUUGUUUUAUAAAAAUGGCAAUAACUUUGUUUUGAUUUGGAUGUGUUCAGAAUAUUGCUUUGUUUUGGUUUACGGAUUGCUUGGUUUUAGAAUUUGGUUUUCCGCUUUGGAUGGUGAAUAUUAGCUGCUUUAUUUCAAGUUUA
This is a non-coding RNA of Salvia hispanica, 638 nucleotides long. The record is from RefSeq and is a predicted model, not a curated record. NCBI's taxonomy places the organism in Eukaryota, Viridiplantae, Streptophyta, Magnoliopsida, Lamiales, Lamiaceae.